Molecule: ribosomal RNA, 254 nt
Filed under: uncultured bacterium
Lineage: Bacteria
Description: partial 16S ribosomal RNA
Rfam family: Bacterial small subunit ribosomal RNA
Source: RNAcentral
UACGUAGGGUGCGAGCGUUGCCCGGAUUUAUUGGGCGUAAAGAGCUCGUAGGCGGUCUGUCGCGUCGAUCGUGAAAACUUGGGGCUUAACCCUGAGCUUGCGGUCGAUACGGGCAUGACUGGAGUUCGGCAGGGGAGACUGGAAUUCCUGGUGUAGCGGUGAAAUGCGCAGAUAUCAGGAGGAACACCGGUGGCGAAGGCGGGUCUCUGGGCCGAUACUGACGCUGAGGAGCGAAAGCGUGGGGAGCGAACAGG